GAAGCGUUUGGUGCGUUACAAUUGCAGCGGAGACGUUAACGACUCUGGGCUGGCCCUCUGGAGUCGAGCGGCGGACGGGAGAGUAAUGCUAGGGAAAUGCCUUAUGGUGGGGGACAACAGUUGGAAACGACUGCUAAUACCGCAUGAUGUCUACGGACCAAAGUGGGGGACCUUCGGGCCUCACGCCAUAAGAUUAGCCCAAGUGGGAUUAGCUAGUUGGUGAGGUAAUGGCUCACCAAGGCGACGAUCCCUAGCUGGUUUGAGAGGAUGAUCAGCCACACUGGGACUGAGACACGGCCCAGACUCCUACGGGAGGCAGCAGUGGGGAAUAUUGCACAAUGGGCGCAAGCCUGAUGCAGCCAUGCCGCGUGUGUGAAGAAGGCCUUCGGGUUGUAAAGCACUUUCAGUAAGGAGGAAAGGUUAAGUGUUAAUAGCACUUAGCUGUGACGUUACUUACAGAAGAAGCACCGGCUAACUCCGUGCCAGCAGCCGCGGUAAUACGGAGGGUGCGAGCGUUAAUCGGAAUUACUGGGCGUAAAGCGUACGCAGGCGGUUUGUUAAGCGAGAUGUGAAAGCCCCGGGCUCAACCUGGGAACUGCAUUUCGAACUGGCAAACUAGAGUGUGAUAGAGGGUGGUAGAAUUUCAGGUGUAGCGGUGAAAUGCGUAGAGAUCUGAAGGAAUACCGAUGGCGAAGGCAGCCACCUGGGUCAACACUGACGCUCAUGUACGAAAGCGUGGGGAGCAAACAGGAUUAGAUACCCUGGUAGUCCACGCCGUAAACGAUGUCUACUAGAAGCUCGGGUCUUCGGACUUGUUUUUCAAAGCUAACGCAUUAGGUAGACCGCCUGGGGAGUACGGCCGCAAGGUUAAACUCAAAUGAAUUGACGGGGGCCCGCACAAGCGGUGGAGCAUGUGGUUUAAUUUCGAUGCACGCGAAGACCCUUACCUACACUUGACAUACAGAGAACUUACCAGGAGAU
This 981-nucleotide ribosomal RNA is filed under the name Pseudoalteromonas sp. j214181. RNAcentral's name for it is "bacterial SSU rRNA". It matches the Rfam family "Bacterial small subunit ribosomal RNA", at positions 1 to 1007 of the family's 1533-position model. The record is from RNAcentral. Lineage: Bacteria; Pseudomonadati; Pseudomonadota; Gammaproteobacteria; Alteromonadales; Pseudoalteromonadaceae.